AGUGAACGCUGGCGGUAGGCCUAACACAUGCAAGUCGAACGGCAGCACAGUAAGCUCUUGCUCUUACGGGUGGCGAGUGGCGGACGGGUGAGACAUACAUCGGAAUCUACUUUUUCGUGGGGGAUAACGUAGGGAAACUUACGCUAAUACCGCAUACGACCUACGGGUGAAAGCAGGAGAUCUUCGGACCUUGCGCGAUUGAAUGAGCCGAUGUCGGAUUAGCUGGUGGGCGGGGUAAAGUCCCACCAGGGCGACGAGCCGUAGCUGGUCUGAGAGGAUGUUCGGCCAACUGGGAAUUGAGACACGGCCCAACCUCCUACGGGAGGCAGAGUAGGGGAAUUUUGGCAAAUGGGCGAAAGCUUGCGGCAGCCAGACGGGGGGGUGGUAGAAGUCUUCCGAGUUGUAAACUCCGUUUGUUGGGAAAGAAAAGUGGGAAAUUAACACUCCGCUGUUCUGACGUUACCCAAAGGAUAGGCACGGGCAACCUUGGU
Molecule: ribosomal RNA, 491 nt
Filed under: uncultured bacterium
Lineage: Bacteria
Description: partial 16S ribosomal RNA
Rfam family: Bacterial small subunit ribosomal RNA
Source: RNAcentral